CCUACGGGGGGCUGCAGUGAGGAAUAUUGGUCAAUGGACGAGAGUCUGAACCAGCCAAGUAGCGUGAAGGAUGACUGCCCUAUGGGUUGUAAACUUCUUUUAUAUGGGAAUAAAAUGUUCCACGUGUGGGAUUUUGUAUGUACCAUAUGAAUAAGGAUCGGCUAACUCCGUGCCAGCAGCCGCGGUAAUACGGAGGAUCCGAGCGUUAUCCGGAUUUAUUGGGUUUAAAGGGAGCGUAGGUGGAUUGUUAAGUCAGUUGUGAAAGUUUGCGGCUCAACCGUAAAAUUGCAGUUGAAACUGGCAGUCUUGAGUACAGUAGAGGUGGGCGGAAUUCGUGGUGUAGCGGUGAAAUGCUUAGAUAUCACGAAGAACUCCGAUUGCGAAGGCAGUUCACUGGACUGCAACUGACACUGAGGCUCGAAAGUGUGGGUAUCAAACAGGAUUAGAUAUCCGUGUAGUC
This 460-nucleotide ribosomal RNA is filed under the name uncultured bacterium. RNAcentral's name for it is "partial 16S ribosomal RNA". It matches the Rfam family "Bacterial small subunit ribosomal RNA", at positions 338 to 795 of the family's 1533-position model. The record is from RNAcentral.